CCAACCGUCGCAACGAGAGGCGAGAUGCCGAAGGUAUGGAUGGUGAUUGGGAGUG
RNAcentral lists this ribosomal RNA (55 nucleotides) under uncultured bacterium. RNAcentral's name for it is "partial 16S ribosomal RNA". The record is from RNAcentral.